UCCCUGGUGGUCCAGUGGUUAGGGCUCUGUGCUUCCAAAGCAAGCUGCAUGGGUUCGAUCCCCGGUCGGGGAA
Molecule: transfer RNA, 73 nt
Filed under: Ovis aries (sheep)
Lineage: Eukaryota; Metazoa; Chordata; Mammalia; Artiodactyla; Bovidae
Rfam family: tRNA
About the family: Transfer RNA (tRNA) molecules are approximately 80 nucleotides in length.
Source: Rfam by way of RNAcentral